UACCUACGGGAAGUCAGCAUUUGGGCCUCUUUCCCCAUGGGGGAAACCCUUAUGCAGCGAUGCCGCGUGGAGGAAGAAGGUUUUCGGAUUGUAAACUCCUUUUAUCAGGGACGAUAAUGACGGUACCUGAAGAAAAAGCUCCGGCUAACUACGUGCCAGCAGCCGCGGUAAUACGUAGGGAGCGAGCGUUGUCCGGAAUUACUGGGUGUAAAGGGAGCGUAGGCGGGACGGCAAGUCAGAUGUGAAAACUGAGGGCUCAACCUUCAGACUGCAUUUGAAACUGCUGUUCUUGAGUGAAGUAGAGG
Molecule: ribosomal RNA, 305 nt
Filed under: uncultured bacterium
Lineage: Bacteria
Description: bacterial SSU rRNA
Rfam family: Bacterial small subunit ribosomal RNA
Source: RNAcentral